CGUGCCUAGAGCGGUUCCUCUCCGUGGCGCCCUACCGCCUUCGGCGCGAAGGUGGCUGGUGCGUACCGUCCCGAACCCUAGGAGCCGAGAUCCCACCCGCAGGACCCCAAAACCCAAUGAUCCUGCAGCAGCCCUUGCAGCGAGGCCCCCAGGGAGGGGCCCAGCGCCUCCCGCGGGCCGCCUUGGGGGUGACUUGGGGCCUGGACGCCAGGUGCGUGUAGGGGACCAGGGUGGGCCUGACCAAGGGCCGCAGGAGCUUUGGCUGGGUGCUCAGGACUGGUCUGCAGGAUGAAUACGGGGUGGGGCGAAUCGGCGGGGCUUAGGCGUGAGCUGAGAUGGGACUGGGGCUGCGGCUGAGGGUCGAGACUUCCGAGGUACCCUGCUGGAUGGUCCAGGAGAGCGGGGACCGGCACCAGCUGAGACAGGAAUGGGCUUGGGGCUCCUGGCUGAUGCUGCAGGCUUAGGCGGGCAGAUCCUUGGGAAGGGGCCAAGAGGGUGGGGUGCACCAGGCUCUCUUUUUUUCCCAGCUCCCCUCUCCGAGGAGCUGUGCCCAUGAGCACCAAGCGGCGCCUGGAGGAGGAGCAGUGAGUUUGGGGGCAGGGAGGGACUCCCAACAAGAUCUCUGUCACCUCUGGUCCCCAACAGGCUGCCUCCUGUGUCAGUAUCCCAGCCUGCCUCUCUGCCAUCUCUCCCCAGGGAGCCUCUGCGCAAGCAGUUUCUGUCUGAGGAGAACAUGGCCACCCACUUCUCUCAACUCAGCCUGCACAAUGACCACCCCUACUGCAGCCCCCCCAUGACCUUCUCCCCAGCCCUGCCCCCACUCAGGAGCCCUUGCUCUGAGCUGCUUCUCUGGCGCUAUCCUGGCAGCCUCAUCCCUGAGGCCCUCCGUCUGCUGAGGCUGGGGGACACCCCCAGUCCCCCCUACCCUGCAACCCCAGCUGGGGACAUAAUGGAGCUCUGAGUGCUGGUGGACAGUGCCCCUCCCACCUUCCUUCUUCCCCACAACAGAAGAGACCAGCGACUCCCGCAAAGGGACAAGGUUCCUCCCUCUCCUGCAGAGUAGGCAUCUGGGCACCAAGACCUUCCCUCAACAGAGGACACUGAGCCCAACGGAGUUCUGGGAUGGGAGGGGUGGGAGCAUGGGAAGGGAGGCAUCCCACCCCCAAGAAGAACUGAAUAAAGAUUGCUGAGCAAAGGAA
RNAcentral lists this long non-coding RNA (1199 nucleotides) under Homo sapiens (human). RNAcentral describes it as "non-protein coding lnc-HCFC1R1-1:2". The record is from RNAcentral. Lineage: Eukaryota; Metazoa; Chordata; Mammalia; Primates; Hominidae.